GGAAAAAACGAAACCGGGGAUAAGUAAUCUUUGAAUGUUGAAUAAUAUUUGCUACUAUUUUAAUAGUUUGUUUUCAGCACAGUUAUAGCCACUCCACAUUUGGUGUUGCACUUUUUCGUAACACAACUGAAUGAAUUUCGAGUUCGGUUUGUUUGUGUGGGCAAAGCAAGGUCGGUCAAUAGCAGCAUUUUGAAGUCAAAUAUGUUUGGAAUGUGGGCAGCGUUAAACUCGGCUUGAAAUCGCUCACUCAUUCAUUCUGCUCAACGGAACCGCAAAUGGGCCAAAAGUUUGAAAUAAAAUAGAAUUAUUUGGCAAUUGUUGGCGGCUGUUUGUUGUUUGGUUUUUCGCUCGUUUCUCGUUUGGUGUCGGAAAAUAGAAAAACUCGCUAAAUCUGUUGGCACAUGCGGAUCUCCGCAAUCUAUCUUAUCGCCGGCGAGGGGUUAUCCAAUGUGUGUUAAAAAGGCCGCUGUCAACGGCAUUUGGGUUGAGAACGAUGCUAUACUUAUUUCUUGCCUCCGGUCAAUUUGUGGCACUUAUCCGUGCCACACUUAAUGGCUUUUCGACGACCAAUUAAAGAGCAGAACAAAGUGCGCAGAGAUGGGGAGCGUGGCGCAGAGCACAGGAAAUGCUUUGGGGGCAGGGUGCCUAUGGAAUGUGGCUGUGGUGUUCCAACACGUUGACAUCGCAGCCUUGUAACCAUUUCCAUCAUCGUCUUUACCGAAUGACACCCACGCACCGAAACUCAGAGCGACUUGCUCUCGGCCAUCUGUGCGUAUACGCAACGUGCUCGCAGAUAGCCGGUGAUAAGCGGAGAAUAUACUCUAUUUGCCGAGAUUCAACAACUGCUGGCCAAAUAUUUGCAGCCUUAGCAGUCCUAUCUGAGUUGGCCAAAAAAAAGGAAGAUAACAAGGUUGGCUAAUUGAAUUUUGCGCGCCACUCGGCAGAUAAAUAAUUAGAUAUACCUGCAGUUAUUUCUCAGGUGUUUGUGUCCAUUUAAAUAGAUGCACAGCAAGAAAUUUGCAUAAAACUCUUAAUGGAUUCAUAAAUAAUGUAUUUGCUUAAUAAAUUAUUUUGAGAUUCCAUAUAUUUUUAAAGUCGUUUUCAAGUAUUUUUAAUCUUUAACAGUGAAAACUUUUUUUUGGUGUGUAGCCAUGUAACAUAUUUACCGACACGGUCGGAAGUUUUGAAUUGGACUUCCUCCGCAGUCACAUUAGUGGCUUUUUCAAACCAUUUUUUGACCACUCGCCUAAGCCCCGUUAUGAGCGAUUGUCAAAUGAGCCACGACAUGUGGCACGCAUACGGAAUUAGCCAAGUCAAAACAUCGAAGGCAACGAGCAGCCAGAACAUGGAAUGCCCUUACACGAGCAUAUCUUAUCUGAGAGUCAUUCCAGACAGUUACGAGUGUUUUAUGGGCUAGUUUCCUGAUGUUAUGCUAAUACCUAAAGUACUAGCAAUCAGUAGAUUUGGAUUUAUAGGUGCUUAAUCUCGUUGUGCGACUUAUGAGCCAGUCAAAGUUCUGUCUUCGACCAAGAGUAUGUCGCACACACAUCAAGCUGGUGCAGCUCCACCGCAUGAACCAUUUAAGGCCACACACUCAAUACCUCUGGCAAUAUGGCUUAGACAACAAACUGGUUGCCCCCUCAAGACAUUAUAAUGACCAUUUUCGUAAUUGAAACCAAGCGGUUCGGUUGACAAGAGUUAAGGUCUUUGUUUACUUCACUUCCCUACUUGGUUCGAUCUGAAGUGAGCGGUGUGAGUCAGUCACUAAAGUCACUUUCGGCUGAAGAUUGUCUUAUUAAAAGUUAUUAUCAAACGGGCGGACUGUUAACCGAAUAGAUAUUGUGAUUCUUUUGUUGCCAAGGCUGGAGUUCUUAUCAGUUCUUUGGGCUGAACCCAACAAGGACAGUUGUGGCUGGUCACUUCCGUUUUGGGGCGUUCUCUCUAGUUUUAUGGUGGCCAUGUGUAAUGUCUGUCACAGUUUGCGUCACCGAAUUCUGUUCUUGGUAAUUUUCAUUUCAUGUGUAUAUAUUUAGAGGCGCGCACAUAUAGUCUCUGUUUGUGUGGAACGUCUACCUCUGCCUCUGCCUCUGCAGAUUUUGUCAUUUAUUUAAGAACUGACGUCGUUCCUGCCCGCCUUCUAUAUCUCUGUUUUCUCUCGCGAUCUCUUGCCAAAAAUCAUAUUCGUACGCCUAGACUUGUCUAUAUACAUUUGUGUAUUCCUAUUUCGUCGGCAACCACCCAUGCAACAUGUGCGUUUAACUCUUCUACGCGGGGGAUCCCGACCACAGCCCAAAAAUGGGUCAAAAGAUCUUUAAGUUUAGGCCAAUAAACGUGUAACCACGAAAAGGUUAUUCGCCCAAACCAUGUUAGUCAGAGAUUAAUACCAUAUGGUUAAACUUCCCACACAGACUAUAAAAGAGGUCUUCACGAUCAUGAACGGUAUUUUGCAAUCGAGUAAAUUUACAGACCAAAAGUUAAAGCCUAUUUGUUAACUGUUUAAUAAAACAUUUCAUUAAAGUUACCUUAAACUCUGAUUUAUUUUUAGCAUUUAGCACAGUAAACACACAAAUUUCUCCAUUGACUUUCUAACCGAUAUUUAAAUAUUUUUGUUGAGUGCACCCAUUCAAAACCUGCAGUUAAACGUGGGCUAAACAUUAGGUUAACUUUCGGUUAACCAGUUUGGCUGUCUGGCAAAAGAAGCAGAAGCAGAAGUAAAGACCAGAAAAAGCAACAUCAACGACCUCGACCACAGUGGAAAAUGUCUCAUUUUGGUGUGUUUUAUGUGCAGACUUGGGCGUAGGAUGUGGGUCGUAGGAUGGCUGAAAUGGAUGACAACAUCGCACAGCUGUUCGGGAUGUGUUCGGAGCAGGGAAUCAACUGCAAUCUAAUGAAAUGAAAUGAAACGGAACGUUCAGCGAAGUGCAAACAAACAAAAGUUAAGUGCACAUCGGUGGGGGAAAUGUGGGGCAUGUUCACUCGCAUUUGGCCAUAAGCAGACGUUGGCCCAGUUUGCAAGGAAUGCGCAGUGGCAGACAGUGGCAGUUGCAAGAGAGACCCACAAAAGCGCGCAACAAGUCUGGUAAGCCAAUGCGACACCUAUUAUGCUCUACAAUCAUUACUUUGCUUACUUAUGGAUAGGGAUUUUACUAUCUAUCAGUUUUAAUUGCGAUUGGUAUUCAUGUCGCUUUUGAAUUAUGUUUAUUUCAUUCCCCAAACAAAUAUAAAAAUAAUCAAGAUAAAAAUCUUAAAAAUUUAAAAUUUUAUUAUAUGAUUUACACCUUACACAGACUGCUUACAUAUUCUAAUUUAACCAAGCGCUUUGCCCCACGUUGGGCGCCAGUUCUGUGACUUACACUCGCGCCAAAAGUUCUACAAACUCUGCUAGCUAUGCAGGUAUUUUUUGGUUUUUUUGUGAAAGCCCCCUAGGCUUUUUAUUCUCCGACUUCUCAAAGUUAAUAAUCUCCAUUUCUACCCUACGUAAAUCACAGACAAAAGAAGGUUUAAAAAAAGUAAAAGAGUAGGUAUACAAGCUAUAUGCAUCCAAGUAUCUACAAGUAUCUAACCAUGUAUAUAUCUACAUUGUCUACUUAUACUGAGAACAAAUAACAGACGCAGAACAAUUGUGAAAAAACUUGUAGAAAUUGGCAUGAAUAAUGCGCCCGCCGGCGAAAAGCGAGAAAAGAGAAAGGGGCAUGGCCGGCAGGAGGAGAAAUGGCCAGAGAAAUGUGGAAAUGUGCCAUGACUUGGGUGGGAAACGAAAGGGGCGAAGUCUGUGGAUCAGUGUGUCCGCAAAAGACUUUUUAGUCGGGCCAACUCGGACUCUCUUGCCUUGUGACAGUGGUGAGGCCGCCCAGUUUAUUGGCAUGUAUCUACUUAUAGAAAGAUACGUUUUUUGAAAAAUAACAUAACCUUAGAAAAUAAUAAAUAAAGAAAUAGUAGAGUUAAAUAAAGCAUAAAGUUACAUUUCAAGUAUUCAAUAAUGCUUCAAGUUUUAAAUCUAAUAAAUACCACUUCUUAUUGUACUUGACCUGUCCAUCAUAUUUCCAAAUCGAGCAAAGCAAUGCUUGCACUGCGAUAAAAAGUUUGUGUUUCAGUGUACACUCGCAUUUCAUUCCAGGUCUUCGAAGCUAUGUGUGUCUGUGUGGGACAAGCCAAAGACCUAACCUAUUACCACAAAAGUACAUUUUUCUUUGCCCACUUUUUUCAGACUUUUUUCUGACUACUUUCAGAGUUUUUUCCAACUUGUUGCCCCGUUUGGUUAGCGGUGCUUAUUGAGUCGAUGAUGACAGCAAAAAAUUAUUUGUGGGCAGUAACCGGUUUUGGCACCUUGUCCAGACUAUCCCCCUUGCAAAAAAAUAGACACAAACACCACCCCCGAGAGUCAUGUGACAGAGAACUGACAUAUGGUUAUGGUAAUUGCGAUUAAUAUUGACUUCAAAUGGUUGUUAGGUUCGCGUAAAGAUUGAGAUGCAAACGCAAAUGGACGGAGUUUUCUCAUAUGUUAAGUGAAUUCCGUUGCGCAACAUCGAUGAGCGAUAUCAAUUCCAUUCCCAUUUUGCAUAAUCUUUGAUUUGAUUCGAGCUCUCAUUUCUUUGAUGCCUUUUCCAUCGCUUUCUUUGGUCAAAUCGGCUCAGGCAAGUGGAAAGUGAAACUCGUUUGUACUCGUAGAAAGUUCGAAUCGGCGAAAGAAGGGAGGAAUCGGCGCAAGAAGAAGCGGCAGCCGUAGAAAACUAAUAUUUAUCCCACAUGCAUGCACGGAUCGGAGAAUAUGAGCUCUUUCCAGCCAGUCUUGUCAUGUGAUUUAUCAAUUAGCAUUAGCCGUUGGCCAUUGGCCACAAAGCCGAAGAAAAGCGCUGGCCUGCGGUUACUUCGCUGGAUUCUAGUCAACUUGGGGAGUUGCUUGCUAAUUAGUAGAGAAAUCUCUCGCCAAACGAGUUUGGGAGCUGGGAAUAGUGGCAGCCAAAAAUGCAUAGUUUGGAGCUUAAUAAAUCAACCUUAUUAUCAAGUUUCCCAAAACUACUGCUCUUUUGUACAUCAACUGAAUUUUGCAUUUAUAGCUCAUACUAAAGAGUCUGUAAACCUUAGUUAUAAUUUUAAUGGGUUGUUGAGCAAUCUGUCAAUACAACCUACUUAUAAUAGAUUGGUUAAUAAACAAUCUUCAAUGCCAAACUGCAGAUGCAGAAUAUAAGACCUAAACAGUUUUUUCUGUGUACUACUAGCAUCGUUUUUCAUCUGGCCGAUAAAAAUAUCUCAGCAGUAGCUGCAUGUUUCCAUCAUUCAUUCCUUAAUAUUAUUAUGAGAUCUUUUUCUCUGGUACUUAUUGCAAGGUGAAUAGAUAAUGAACGUUUAUGUUAAUUUACUUAAUUGAGCCCGAUUAUAGAGACCUUUGUUUUGAUCCCAGCACUUUCAUUUGGCACUGCAUUUGAAAUGAAAAGCGUUUUCACUGAACCAAGCCAAACAUUUGCACUCCGUUGUUAUUUCGAAAUAAAUAGAAAAUAGAAAACAUGACGGGCUAAUUGCAAGUGGAAUACGAAUGGGCUAUGUAAGUAAACAGAAGCGGUCAACUGCUGAAUGAUGAAAAGCCAAAAAACGUUUUACAAAGUCAGCGGAUUCCCCGCCAUCAAAGUGAAAAGUUUUAACGACCGCAAAGCGAAUAUUGGUUAGAUUCAAUCGAAUGCAAUUAAUAAGUGAAUAACUGAGUAAGUGAAUAAGAGGUGCUCUUAACCGGAUAUUCAAGCGAGUGCCGGGGAAGUUUCGGUUUUGGGGGGAUUGUCCGGGGACAGGUUUUUAUUAAAUUUUAUUUCAUUAUCGGUUUUAUGCGAUUAUUAAGAAAGAAAAAGCUUCCGCUGAGCACGCAUUCGGCGACAGUUAUUUAAGCUCGUCUCGGCCUCAGCUGUGUGUAUCUCUCAGAUACUCAGAUACAAUUAUAGCUAGACAAAAGCCGCACAAUAAUUGUCGUUUCAGCAGCUUGCGAGAUUAUUGCAUGGCGACAGGUUUUUGCGAAUUGUUUUCAAGUGCUUUCGCUUGGCUGUGUGUGCAUUACUAUCUGGUUAUGUAACGUCGAGAAUUUUUCAGCGAUUUUGGUGAUCACGUCUCGAAAUGUAUAUACCACGUGUGUAUCUUGAAAAGUUUCAAGUAAAUAAAUAGUCAGAGUGUGAUAAUUUGGAAACUACUUAAUUAGUCAUCUAGUUUCUUCAUGAACUACAAUAAAUCUCGAUUCAUCUUAGCAGUGGUGACUAAUUCAGGUUAAAACCAAAGCUAAUGAUAACAUUUGUGUACUCUAAUCGUUCGCUAUCAUCAAAUCACAUUAUUCAACAUUAACAUUUGUUGCUUAUGUUAACAUUUGUUGCUGAUCUUAUUUCGACUCGAUCAUUUUACCUUCAACUUUGAGGAGAACCCUUUUCGGUUACACAAUUAUGGCCGUAUUUGUGAUAUAUUCAUGCUAAUCGAUCGCAAGAUAUCGAGAAAACCAAAAGCACACAUUGAACAUAUCUGAGAGAUAGCCGCAAAUGUUCUCGUAACUCACAAAUAUUUGUGAAUGCGGUCAAAUCAUGAGCGAAUACUUAGCACUAGUAUCUCCAAGUGUCUCAACCGCAUGUAGUUGGUAUCUUUAUCUCGGAAUCAUUGUAUCUUUCCGCCUGCCUCGUUUAGCAUUGAAGCGCAAAGUGAACUCAUUGAAGUGCCUGCCAUUAGAGAUCAUUGAAGAAAAACUCCACGUGAUUUGCAUAGACAAGCCCAAAUAAAAAUUUAGGUACUUUAUGGCACGUGACGAACCAUGUAGGAUAGUGUGGGCAAUCUUUAACCAGAUCGUUAGCAAAUCGUCGGCAAAAUCACUGGGGUAUGACAAAUAGGUCAAGAGCAGUAGAAAUGGAGUAAAUUCAAAUUCGAGCUUUGAAAAAUUUCCAGCAUUUGCCCAUUCAACUAUAAAGUGCUCUGCAGUUAAAUCUGAUAUCAAAUUGGUUUGUUGCAUAACAUGGUCACGGCUAAACCGCACUCUUUCAGCUCUAUUUCAAUAUGUGAAUGAACGCCGAAGAAUAGAGGAACCAAACAAACCCAUUUCGCUGAUAAGAAAGUAUAUAGUAUAUUGUAUAAAUGGAUGGAAUUUUUGCGGGGGUGGGGGUGGCAAAUUCCAAUUCGUUACAGAGCCACUGAAACGAGGGCUUAUCAGGCCCCAUUAACUUUUUCCUUUGGUUCCAUAAUAGUCAAAUCUCUACGAUAAGGGUAUGAGUUUUCAAUUAUUUUUGCCACAAUCAAUUGCGAAUAUCACGCAUACGUCAUGUUGAGCAGACUUAAAUUUGGAAACAUCAUAAAUGCGUAGGAAACUCAUUUAUACCGAUACUGAUACGAAAUAGAUUCGAUGGCAAAUUGAAAUAUAAUGAUUAGUGCGGAGAAAUACAGCAAAAGUGAAAUGAAAAGCUACAGUACGCAUCAGUGACGUUUGACAAUUUUUCCAAGCUCCCUGGCAAUCUCUCAAUCUUCUUUAUUUUCUCCUCGUGUAUCCCCUUUAUCUGUUCGUUUUUACACACGUUUCGCAAUUGCAAACUGUGCAAAAGUCAGUGAACUGCUUUUAAUUACAAAUCCACGCAGCUGGCAGGCAGUACAUUAUUACAAAGAUAUUUACAAAACGCUGAAAAACUGAAUUUUCCACUUGAUCGAAGACCAAAACAGCUUCGAAGAAAAUGCGCUCUGGAGAUUUCCUACAAACAACAGCCGAGUAAUAAACAUUUUUCUAAUACAUUUUAAUUCCUCGGGCACUCUUAAUGCGAAAACUUUUCGCACAUUAGUUUCGGAGAUCAAACAAAGCCCACCAAAUCACCAAAUUGCAUAUAUGUAUGUAUGUACAUAUGUACACUUGCCGUGCCCCAAUUCAAUUCAAUUCAAUUCAAUUUCCACUUGCACAUUCUGGAAACGUUUGUUUUCUAAAGCCAUUUCGUGGCAGCCUUUAAUGCAUUUUUCAAGAAUCCAGAUGAACAUUAUACAAUUAAAAUGAUAAACAACAAAUGAAACCGCAGAAUACCUCUUAUUGCUAAAUUAUGCAACUGACAUUGAAAAAGUCAAAUGCAUAUGAACGCCGCAGCCCUCUGAAAAGCCAGUGCCGUGUAAAUCUCAUUGAAAUUAACUACAUCGCCCGACUGCAGGGGCAUCCCCUCGACCACCUGCACCUCUUGCAACUCGCAUUCGGAAAUUGCAUAAAACGCUUCCAGAGCGCUGGAAAAUUGCUCAUAACCUCGACCAGAGCGGCGGGAAAUCAUCUGCGAGUGCAUUUUGCCUUGAUGGACAGGGGGGCCGAGGCUGCGGGGGCGGGGGUGGUCUAACAAUUGUCCCUGAUUGGGCAAUAGCAAAAAGUCGGCAAUAGCUUUGGCUGCAAAAAAUGGAAUCAAAUGCGAAGGCUUUCAAGCGAGCGGCGCGAAUGCGCCCCCUGCCGGCCCAGAAAUGAAAUACUGCAGGUGCUACAGAGAGAGAAACGGUGGGUAUUAUCACAAAGUAUAUAUAGGCAACUGAAUGGAAUAUGAAAUCUGGGGAUCGUAGAUCCUCUAAGUCUAACCGAGCUUAACUCAAAUUCUUUGCAUACUCAAUUGAGAAAAUUUGUAUAAUUUCUCUCGGUGUAAUGUAACAAGGGGGAUUGCUUUGGGGUUCGAAGCCGAUGCAAAUUUUGAACUAUGCUAAUUCCGAUGCUAAUACCCAAGCACUGACACACCAGCAUCGGAUUCAUUUGAGCGUAACUAGCGCGAAAAAAUCACCCAAAAUGAGAACGAAACAAUUAAGCUGAAUAGCAACCAAUAUUUGCGUAACAUAUUCCCCACUUUUUCGGGCGAUAAAAAGAAAGCUUUCACAUCGAAAAUUGUAUGCUGUCCACUGCAUUUGCAUUUCCAUUAAUAUUUAAAUUUAUAAACUAUGUAUGUAUGUAUAUCCCACUGAUUGCGUAAGCUGAGACGCAGUUAGGGUUCGCUGCCAACCGGUUUUGCAAUCCACCCAAAACAACGGUGGAAAUAAAAACAAUUAUUGUAACAAGUUAACUAACCGACAACACUUUCGCGGUAUGAGAAGUGGGUUCCCAUGCCUUGGCAGUCGCCUUAUUUUUCCUAUUUUUCCUAUUUUUUCUAUUUUUCUACAUUUCUUUUUUUUACUGCACCUGUAAGUAGAACAACAGCCACAGCAGUAGCAAAUCGCUUGCUCUGUAUCUGCGUUGGGAUCUGUUUUCCGAUCUACUACCUUUUGUUCUAGACCCCCCCGCCCCCUUUCCUGGCUUUUCCCAUUUUCCCUUCCCAUUUCCGCAAGCGAAUAUGUAGUUGAAUUAAAUCGGAUACUCUGUUCCCUCUGACACAGUCGCCAGAUGCGACUGCAGAUGCCCAUGUAUAAUGUGCAUAGGCAUAGGAUGCGACAUACGUCUUUGCCAGCAGCUUGGAGCCCAGAUAGCGCAGCUCCCCAAGUGGGGCUCGGAUGUGGAGCAACAGUUGGGGGUCAGACAGGUAGACAAACACACUGCUCUGCGAGAUUAGCCCAGUGUCUUUCUACACUCUACAGAAACACACAUCCCACUGGCUGGCAUUUAACUAUCAUAUGAACAAUUAGAUAAGCUCAGCAAGCUCAGAUAAGCUCAAAUCGACAGUAAUUGACCUUGCGUCUUUUCACGCGCCACACUUUUUCCAAAAGUUUGUUUUCGUUUUUCUUCUGCUUGUGGUUGUAGUGGUUGUAGUGUUUCGUCUUUUCUUUUUUGGGUUAGACAACAAACUGCAGCUUUAAAUAGAACUCUUUGGGGUUGCGUUAGUGACUAACACUUGAACUUCACACCCAAUGACAUGCGUUAUCAUUCUGCUCGAACAUCUUAGCGAACUGCACAAUUGUGCAUUAAUGAGCCAAAGUGAGACGCUGUGAAGUAAUUCCAAUUGUUAUGCAAUCAAAAAGUGACACAAAGACUCUGUUACUCCGUCUGUUUCCUUUACUUUCAUGCACGAUUGUCGGCAAUUUCAAUAAUUGAGCACUCUUUUCUAUAAUAAGCUCCGGAGUAUAUAACUUAUAACAAUCACAUCUGUCGCAUUAUUGUGUGAGUAUCUUUAUUUGAUAUCUGCCUCUGACUUGUAGAUUGCUUCACGCUCGAUUAAAUAGAGCUAUUGAAUUGAAUCUAUCUGUGGUCAGUACUUUUGAAAACGCCCCUUGGAUAAAAGGGGCGUAAGGCCAGACUGCAGCACUCGAUCACUAAUGGGGCCCAUAUCUACGUACAUAUAACGUGAUAUAUGAUACAACCCCUCGAAAGUCUUAAAGUGCAAUGUCAGAUAUUUACACCACCUAUAUGUAAACAUGGCUUUUUCUGUUCUUGUUUUCGGCUCUUUAAGUCAGCCGCCAAAUGUUUCCACGUAUUUGAGAGGGGUUAAUAUACAUAUAUUCGCUUUGAAUUUCGAUCCCUUUGGGGUUAAUGCGAACUUGUUUAUUCGCGAAAGCCGAUAACAAAUUGAUUGUGUAUUGAUGGGAUCAGCAUUAAAAUGCUCGAUUUUUUGUGCAAUUACUGGAAGGGAAACCAAAGAACUGGUGGGAAGUGCCAACUGUAGCAAAACUUUAUAUAUUCAUUUAUUACUUAGGUAUUUCUUAUUCCAUUUCAAUCUGAGAAUAUCGCAACUAAUCAAUAGAAAUAGGAAAUUAACUUAAAUAUAAUCUGCAAUUCAACGAGGCGAUAAAUGAAUUCUGAAUACUGAACUUCCCAGGCUUUUAGGCCCAAUUGUCUAAAUUUACCAGCUAAGAAUUCAAGUGAUUACAAUUAACAGCGAAUUUCGCAUUGAUUUUGAACUGCGGACAAGCGAGGUGUAUAAAUAAGAACCCAAAAACAGUUGACAUUUCGUCGGCAUGCAACAAGAAGUUCAAUAAGCAACAGGCAAGUUUGGAUCGACUACUGCCAAUAAAAUGUCAAUCGGUGCUGAUGCACUGCAUCGAUUCGAAUCGAGGGGCAGAUCGCCGAGGGGUGGGCACAUUUUGGCAGCUGUUGUGCGGUGCCGCAUAAAAAUAGACAAAUAGCCAGGGAGCGAGAAAAGUGGGAAAAGCUAGAAAAGCGAGAAAAGCGGCGCGGGCGAAAUGCUGUGUGCUUUCCCUUUCCCCAUUGCGCUCCACCCAUUCGGCAAAUAGAAAACUUAGAAAAACUAAAAGCCCAAGUGUGCGUAGAGUUAUAAAACAAAAGCCCAAUACCCAGCACACGUCGCACACAUUUAGUACGUUCAGUAGAUUCGGAAAAGAGCGAGAUCUAUUUAAAGAUUGACUACUGCCAGGAAGAGCGACGGCGACAUUUUCCCGCGGCUGACUGGGCCGGGGGAAAAUUCAACACACCUCAAAUAAAAAUGUAUCUAGGCAUCCGCAAGAUGCCCAGUGUGUAGGGAAAAUUAUGAAAUAAACUAGACCGACCAGAGAGCCGGGCGAAAAUCAAGCAAACUCGGAAGUUAACUAGGUCUACAUAUAUGCGUGCAUCGAAGAUCUUGCUACUUAAGAGCAAAGAAACCUUAAAUUCUAAAAUCGUUUCACAGUGACAUUUAGUGGGGGAAUUUGUGGUACCAAGUUUAAUGACCAACACACGCGAGCAUCAGGUCGCAUCCCAAAAAAAAAUUAAGAGCUCAAAUACCAACGAACUUUAGAAAUCGGUCCCAAAUGCCAACUCACACGGAUGGAUAUACAUAGAAAUCAAUAGCUCUGGCUGAGAUUACAGCACUUUUGGCUGAACCACCAAACCACCGAACCACUCUGGAGAUCUUGGAAUGCGCCCGACCAUCCGAAGUAAAAUGUGAAGUGAAGUGAAGGCAUCUAAACCCGUUUUGGGUCAGCUUUUACACGUUGUUUGGGCCGCUUCAUUGACAUUUCGCCGCAUCGAACGCAGGAAAAACAACAAAAUACAACAAGAUACCACCAAAUACAACAAUAAACAAAGACAAUAAUGUUAAUAAGACAA
Molecule: long non-coding RNA, 11926 nt
Organism: Drosophila yakuba
Lineage: Eukaryota; Metazoa; Arthropoda; Insecta; Diptera; Drosophilidae
Exons: 2
Source: RefSeq, a predicted model, not a curated record